AGAGUUUGAUCCUGGCUCAGAACGAACGCUGGCGGCAGGCCUAACACAUGCAAGUCGAGCGCGCCUUCGGGUGAGCGGCGGACGGGUUAGUAACGCGUGGGAACGUGCCCUUCUCUACGGAAUAGCCUCUGGAAACGGAGAGUAAUACCGUAUACGCCCUUUGGGGGAAAGAUUUAUCGGAGAAGGAUCGGCCCGCGUUAGAUUAGGUAGUUGGUGGGGUAAUGGCCUACCAAGCCUACGAUCUAUAGCUGGUUUUAGAGGAUGAUCAGCAACACUGGGACUGAGACACGGCCCAGACUCCUACGGGAGGCAGCAGUGGGGAAUCUUAGACAAUGGGGGCAACCCUGAUCUAGCCAUGCCGCGUGAGUGAUGAAGGCCUUAGGGUCGUAAAGCUCUUUCGCCUGUGAUGAUAAUGACAGUAGCAGGUAAAGAAACCCCGGCUAACUCCGUGCCAGCAGCCGCGGUAAUACGGAGGGGGUUAGCGUUGUUCGGAAUUACUGGGCGUAAAGCGCGCGUAGGCGGAUUAGAAAGUUGGGGGUGAAAUCCCGGGGCUCAACCCCGGAACUGCCUCCAAAACUGCUAGUCUAGAGUUCGAGAGAGGUGAGUGGAAUUCCGAGUGUAGAGGUGAAAUUCGUAGAUAUUCGGAGGAACACCAGUGGCGAAGGCGGCUCACUGGCUCGAUACUGACGCUGAGGUGCGAAAGUGUGGGGAGCAAACAGGAUUAGAUACCCUGGUAGUCCACACCGUAAACGAUGAAUGCCAGUCGUCGG
RNAcentral lists this ribosomal RNA (770 nucleotides) under uncultured marine bacterium. RNAcentral's name for it is "bacterial SSU rRNA". It matches the Rfam family "Bacterial small subunit ribosomal RNA", at positions 8 to 826 of the family's 1533-position model. The record is from RNAcentral.